This 307-nucleotide ribosomal RNA is filed under the name uncultured bacterium. RNAcentral's name for it is "partial 16S ribosomal RNA". It matches the Rfam family "Bacterial small subunit ribosomal RNA", at positions 506 to 808 of the family's 1533-position model. The record is from RNAcentral.
AGACAGCACCGCCGCGGGAAUACAGAGGGUGCGAGCGUUAAUCGGAUUUACUGGGCGUAAAGCGUGCGUAGGCGGCUUUUUAAGUCGGAUGUGAAAUCCCUGAGCUUAACUUAGGAAUUGCAUUCGAUACUGGGAAGCUAGAGUAUGGGAGAGGAUGGUAGAAUUCCAGGUGUAGCGGUGAAAUGCGUAGAGAUCUGGAGGAAUACCGAUGGCGAAGGCAGCCAUCUGGCCUAAUACUGACGCUGAGGUACGAAAGCAUGGGGAGCAAACAGGAUUAGAUACCCCUGUAGUCCCUGUCUCUUAUACA